This 304-nucleotide ribosomal RNA is filed under the name uncultured Nitrospira sp. RNAcentral's name for it is "bacterial SSU rRNA". It matches the Rfam family "Bacterial small subunit ribosomal RNA", at positions 372 to 670 of the family's 1533-position model. The record is from RNAcentral. Lineage: Bacteria; Pseudomonadati; Nitrospirota; Nitrospiria; Nitrospirales; Nitrospiraceae.
UGGGCGCAGCCUGAUCCAGCCACGCCGCGUGAGUGAUGAAGGCCUUCGGGUCGUAAAGCUCUGUGGGGAGGGACGAACCGCUGCACGUGCAUAUCGUGCAGCAUGACGGUACCUCCUUAGCAAGCACCGGCUAACUUCGUGCCAGCAGCCGCGGUAAUACGAAGGGUGCAAACGUUGCUCGGAAUUAUUGGGCGUAAAGCGCACGUAGGCGGCUUGACAAGUCGGAUGUGAAAUCCCUCGGCUCAACCAAGGAAGUGCAUCCGAAACUGUCAAGCUUGAGUACGAAAGAGGANCGCGGAAUUCC